Molecule: ribosomal RNA, 480 nt
Filed under: uncultured soil bacterium
Lineage: Bacteria
Description: bacterial SSU rRNA
Rfam family: Bacterial small subunit ribosomal RNA
Source: RNAcentral
AGGACGAACGCUGGCGGCGUGCUUAAUACAUGCAAGUCUAAGGGUUUACCUACCUUCGGGUAGGUAGACACUGGCGCACGGGUGAGUAACACGUAAGUCAUCUGCCCUUGGGUCUGGCACAACUCCGGGAAACCGGGGCUAAUUCCAGAUGAUACCGAAAGGUCAAAGUUUCGACGCCCAAGGAUGAGCUUGCGUCUGAUUAGCUAGUUGGCGGGGUAAUGGCCCACCAAGGCGACGAUCAGUAGCCGGUCUGAGAGGAUGAUCGGCCACAUUGGGACUGAGACACGGCCCAGACUCCUACGGGAGGCAGCAGUAAGGAUAUUGCGCAAUGGACGAAAGUCUGACGCAGCAACGCCGCGUGCAGGAUGACGGCCCUUUGGUGUAAACUGCUGUAGCGAGGGAAUAAGAGCCCACGUCGGUGGUGUGUAACGGUACCCUAGAAAGUAGCUACCGGACUAACGUACGUGCCAGCACGCCGAC